CAAGGAUAACCCAGCACUGCGUGGACGUGGUGCAGGAGAUGCAGAUCUGACCCCAGCACUGCAUGGACAGCAUUGCAGGAGAUGCAGAUCUGAGCUGUGAUGCAC
RNAcentral lists this long non-coding RNA (105 nucleotides) under Phasianus colchicus (ring-necked pheasant). Its description in RNAcentral is "lncRNA (ENSPCLG00000013452.1)". Lineage: Eukaryota; Metazoa; Chordata; Aves; Galliformes; Phasianidae. The record is from RNAcentral.